CCCCUAGAUGUUCUGGGCCGCACGCGCGCUACACUGAACAGUUCAACAAGUCUUAACCUUGGCCGAUAGGUCUGGGUAAUCUUUGAACGCUGUUCGUGAUUGGGAUAGACCUUUGCAAUUAUGGGUCUUCAACGAGGAAUUCCUAGUAAACGCAAGUCAUCAGCUUGCAUUGAUUACGUCCCUGCCCUUUGUACACACCGCCCGUCGCACCUACCGAUUGAAUGGUCCGGUGAAAUCUCGGGACGGCGGCUUGGUCGCUUGCGUCCGACUGCUGAAACUUGAUUAAACCAUAUCAUUUAGUGGAAGGUGAANUCGUANCA
RNAcentral lists this ribosomal RNA (320 nucleotides) under uncultured eukaryote. RNAcentral describes it as "partial 18S ribosomal RNA". It matches the Rfam family "Eukaryotic small subunit ribosomal RNA", at positions 1470 to 1796 of the family's 1831-position model. The record is from RNAcentral.